Molecule: long non-coding RNA, 457 nt
Organism: Trichomycterus rosablanca
Lineage: Eukaryota; Metazoa; Chordata; Actinopteri; Siluriformes; Trichomycteridae
Exons: 3
Source: RefSeq, a predicted model, not a curated record
UGCUAGUUCAGAUCUCUGAUCCUCACUCACCACCAAAGAAAAUCAACUUUAUCAACAUCAAGUCGAUUACACACGGCACCAGGUGAAAGGUGUGUAAGUACAUCUCCCUCCUGAUCCACUCAGUGAAGUGGGUGAUGUUGGCGUACACUCCUGGUCCGAGCACUUUGGAGGAACAAACCGACCCCCACGAUGUCAGACCGUACAGAGACCAGUGUCCAUCCGGGCCCUCACACACCAGGGGCCCCCCACUGUCACCCUGCACACAGCUGUAUGUAAACCUUGGAGCUGGUGUACAGUCCAUGACUCACCAUGCAGGAGUCGAUGGUUCCGGCCUCGUACCCGGCGCAGAGCAUCCGAGAGGUGAUGGUCUUCAUAUCGAAAUAAGACUGGCACUGAGACAGAGAGAUCACCCUCACCACGCCCUCCUGCAGCUUAAAGGGCACUGCCCGAAAUAAAG